CCUACGGGAGGCAGCAGUGAGGAAUAUGGUCAAUGGCCGAGAGGCUGAACCAGCCAAGUCGCGUGAGGGAAGACGGCCCUACGGGUUGUAAACCUCUUUUGUCGGGGAGCAAAGAGAGUCACGUGUGACUCAUUGAGAGUACCCGAAGAAAAAGCAUCGGCUAACUCCGUGCCAGCAGCCGCGGUAAUACGGAGGAUGCGAGCGUUAUCCGGAUUUAUUGGGUUUAAAGGGUGCGCAGGCGGCCUGUUAAGUCAGCGGUAAAAGCCCGGGGCUCAACCCCGGCGAGCCGUUGAAACUGGCGGGCUGGAGUUGGAGAGAAGUACGCGGAAUGCGCGGUGUAGCGGUGAAAUGCUUAGAUAUCGCGCAGAACUCCGAUUGCGAAGGCAGUUCACUGGACUGCAACUGACGCUGAGGCACGAAAGCGUGGGUAUCGAACAGGAUUAGAUACCCGAGUAGUC
Molecule: ribosomal RNA, 458 nt
Filed under: uncultured bacterium
Lineage: Bacteria
Description: partial 16S ribosomal RNA
Rfam family: Bacterial small subunit ribosomal RNA
Source: RNAcentral